This 518-nucleotide ribosomal RNA is filed under the name uncultured bacterium. Its description in RNAcentral is "bacterial SSU rRNA". It matches the Rfam family "Bacterial small subunit ribosomal RNA", at positions 21 to 518 of the family's 1533-position model. The record is from RNAcentral.
GGCUCAGAACGAACGCUGGCGGCGUGCUUAACACAUGCAAGUCGAACGCGAAAGGGACUUCGGUCCUGAGUAAAGUGGCGCACGGGUGAGUAACGCGUAGAUAACCUGUCUUCAUGUCUGGAAUAAUACGCCGAAAGGGGUACUAAUACCGGAUAUUCUUGCUUUUCAUAAGUUAUGCAAGCAAAGGUGGCCUCUGCAUAUGCUACUGCAUGAAGAGGGGUCUGCGUACCAUUAGCUAGUAGGUGGGGUAAUGGCCUACCUAGGCGACGAUGGUUAGCGGGUCUGAGAGGAUGAUCCGCCACACUGGCACUGGAACACGGACCAGACUCCUACGGGAGGCAGCAGUGAGGAAUAUUGCGCAAUGGGGGAAACCCUGACGCAGCGACGCCGCGUGAAGUGAGGAAGGCCUUCGGGUCGUAAAGCUCUGUCAAGAGGAAAGAAGUGUACAAUGGCUAAUACCUGUUGUAUUUGACGGUACCUCUAAAGGAAGCACCGGCUAACUCCGUGCCAGCCGCAGC